AUACGUAGGUGGCAAGCGUUGUCCGGAAUUACUGGGCGUAAAGGGUGCGUAGGCGGAUAUUUAAGUGGGAUGUGAAAUACCUGAGCUCAACUUGGGAGCUGCAUUCCAAACUGGAUAUCUAGAGUGCAGGAGAGGAGAAUGGAAUUCCUAGUGUAGCGGUGAAAUGCGUAGAGAUUAGGAAGAACACCAGUGGCGAAGGCGAUUCUCUGGACUGUAACUGACGCUGAGGCUCGAAAGCGUGGGGAGC
This 247-nucleotide ribosomal RNA is filed under the name uncultured bacterium. RNAcentral's name for it is "partial 16S ribosomal RNA". It matches the Rfam family "Bacterial small subunit ribosomal RNA", at positions 523 to 769 of the family's 1533-position model. The record is from RNAcentral.